UCGAGCGGUAACAUUAUCUAGCUUGCUAGAUGAUGACGAGCGGCGGACGGGUGAGUAACGCGUAGGAAUCUACCCUGGAGCGGGGGAUAAGCCAUAGAAAUUUGGUCUAAUACCGCAUACGCCCUUCGGGGGAAAGCAGGGGCUCUUCCGACCUUGCACUAUUGGAUGAGCCUGCGUGAGAUUAUCUAGUUGGUGAGGUAAUGGCUCACCAAGGCGACUAUCUCUACCUGGUCUGAGAGGAUGAUCAGCCACACUGGGACUGAGACACGGCCCAGACUCCUACGGGAGGCAGCAAUGGGGAAUAUUGCACAAUGGGCGCAAGCCUGAUGCAGCCAUGCCGCGUGUGUGAAGAAGGCCCUAGGGUUGUAAAGCACUUUCAGUCGUGAGGAAAGGUGUGUGCUUAAUACGUACAUACUGUGACGUUAGCGACAGAAGAAGGACCGGCUAACUCCGUGCCAGCAGCCGCGGUAAUACGGAGGAGUCCUGAGCGUUAAUCGGAAUUACUGGGCGUAAAGCGCGCGUAGGUGGAUUGUCAGUCAGAUGUGAAAGACCAGGGCUCUACCUUGGAACUGCAUCUGAUACUGCUACUCUAGAAUACAGUAGAGGGUAGAUGGAAUUUCCUGUGUAGCGGUGAAAUGCGUAGAUAUAUGAAGGAACACCAGUGGCGAAGGGACUACCUGGACUGAUAUUGACACUGAGGUGCGAAAGCGUGGGGAGCAAACACGAUUAGAUACCCUGGUAGUCCACGCCGUAAACGAUGUGUACUAGCGUUGGAAGACUUGAUCUUUUAGUGGAGAAGCUAACGCGAUAAAUAGACCGCCUGGGGAGUACGCCCGCAAGGUUAAAACUCAAAUGAAUUGACGGGGGGCCGCACAAGCGGUGGAGCAUGUGGUUUAAUUCGACGCAACGCGAAGAACCUUUCCAACUCUUGACAUCCAGAGAAGAGGCUAGAGAUAGCUUUGUGCCUUUUGGAAAUCUGAGACAGGUGUUGCACGGCUGUGUUCAGCUCGUGUUGUGAAAUAUUGGGUUAAGUCCCGUAACGAGCGCACCCCUUGUCUUUAUUUGCCACCACGUAAUGGUGGGAACUCUAAGGAGACUGCCGGUGACAAACCGGAGGAAGGUGGGGACGACGUCAAGUCAUCAUGGCCCUUACGAGUUGGGCUACACACGUGCUACAAUGGCCGGUACAGAGGGAAGCAAACCUGCGAAGGUAAGCUAAUCUCACAAAACCGGUCGUAGUCCGGAUUGGAGUCUGCAACUCGACUCCAUGAAGUCGGAAUCGCUAGUAAUCGUGGAUCAGAAUGGUUGCGGUGAAUACGUUCCCGGGCCUUGUACACACCGCCCGUCACACCAUGGGAGUGGAGUUGCACACAAG
RNAcentral lists this ribosomal RNA (1375 nucleotides) under bacterium. Its description in RNAcentral is "bacterial SSU rRNA". It matches the Rfam family "Bacterial small subunit ribosomal RNA", at positions 62 to 1426 of the family's 1533-position model. The record is from RNAcentral.